This 800-nucleotide ribosomal RNA is filed under the name uncultured bacterium. Its description in RNAcentral is "bacterial SSU rRNA". It matches the Rfam family "Bacterial small subunit ribosomal RNA", at positions 8 to 809 of the family's 1533-position model. The record is from RNAcentral.
AGAGUUUGAUCCUGGCUCAGGAUGAACGCUGGCGGCGUGCCUAACACAUGCAAGUCGAGCGUGAACCAUUGGAAUGAAACUUCGGUCGAGUGAAGAUGGGGAAAGCGGCGGACGGGUGAGUAACGCGUAGGCAACCUGCCCCGUACAGGGGGAUAGCCUCGGGAAACCGGGAUUAAGACCCCAUAAUACCUUUUGUUCACAUGGAUGAAAGGUCAAAGAUUUUAUCGGUAUGGGAUGGGCCUGCGUCUGAUUAGCUGGUUGGUGGGGUAACGGCCUACCAAGGCAACGAUCAGUAGCCGACCUGAGAGGGUGAUCGGCCACAUUGGAACUGAGACACGGUCCAAACUCCUACGGGAGGCAGCAGUGGGGAAUAUUGCACAAUGGGCGCAAGCCUGAUGCAGCAACGCCGCGUGAGCGAGGAAGGCCUUUGGGUCGUAAAGCUCUGUCGGGAAGGAAGAUAAUGACGGUACUUCCCGAGGAAGCCCCGGCUAACUACGUGCCAGCAGCCGCGGUAAUACGUAGGGGGCGAGCGUUAUCCGGAAUUAUUGGGCGUAAAGAGUGCGUAGGUGGUUUCUUAAGCGUGGGGUGAAGGCCAUUGGCUCAACCAGUGUAAGCCCCGCGAACUGGGGAACUUGAGUGCAGGAGAGGAAAGCGGAAUUCCUAGUGUAGCGGUGAAAUGCGUAGAUAUUAGGAGGAACACCAGUGGCGAAGGCGGCUUUCUGGACUGUAACUGACACUGAGGCACGAAAGCGUGGGGAGCAAACAGGAUUAGAUACCCUGGUAGUCCACGCCGUAAACGA